GACGAACGCUGGCGGCGUGCUUAACACAUGCAAGUCGAACGGAAAGGCCCUGCUUUUGUGGGGUGCUCGAGUGGCGAACGGGUGAGUAACACGUGAGUAACCUGCCCUUGACUUUGGGAUAACUUCAGGAAACUGGGGCUAAUACCGGAUAGGAGCUCCUGCUGCAUGGUGGGGGUUGGAAAGUUUCGGCGGUUGGGGAUGGACUCGCGGCUUAUCAGCUUGUUGGUGGGGUAGUGGCUUACCAAGGCUUUGACGGGUAGCCGGCCUGAGAGGGUGACCGGCCACAUUGGGACUGAGAUACGGCCCAGACUCCUACGGGAGGCAGCAGUGGGGAAUAUUGCACAAUGGGCGGAAGCCUGAUGCAGCAACGCCGCGUGCGGGAUGACGGCCUUCGGGUUGUAAACCGCUUUCGCCUGUGACGAAGCGUGAGUGACGGUAAUGGGUAAAGAAGCACCGGCUAACUACGUGCCAGCAGCCGCGGUGAUACGUAGGGUGCGAGCGUUGUCCGGAUUUAUUGGGCGUAAAGGGCUCGUAGGUGGUUGAUCGCGUCGGAAGUGUAAUCUUGGGGCUUAACCCUGAGCGUGCUUUCGAUACGGGUUGACUUGAGGAAGGUAGGGGAGAAUGGAAUUCCUGGUGGAGCGGUGGAAUGCGCAGAUAUCAGGAGGAACACCAGUGGCGAAGGCGGUUCUCUGGGCCUUUCCUGACGCUGAGGAGCGAAAGCGUGGGGAGCGAACAGGCUUAGAUACCCUGGUAGUCCACGCUGUAAACGGUGGGUACUAGGUGUGGGGUCCAUUCCACGGGUUCCGUGCCGUAGCUAACGCUUUAAGUACCCCGCCUGGGGAGUACGGCCGCAAGGCUAAAACUCAAAGGAAUUGACGGGGCCCCGCACAAGCGGCGGAGCAUGCGGAUUAAUUCGAUGCAACGCGUAGAACCUUACCUGGGUUUGACAUGGAUCGGGAGUGCUCAGAGAUGGGUGUGCCUCUUUUGGGGUCGGUUCACAGGUGGUGCAUGGCUGUCGUCAGCUCGUGUCGUGAGAUGUUGGGUUAAGUCCCGCAACGAGCGCAACCCUUGUUCACUGUUGCCAGCACGUUAUGGUGGGGACUCAGUGGAGACCGCCGGGGUCAACUCGGAGGAAGGUGGGGAUGACGUCAAGUCAUCAUGCCCCUUAUGUCCAGGGCUUCACGCAUGCUACAAUGGCUGGUACAGAGAGUGGCGAGCCUGUGAGGGUGAGCGAAUCUCGGAAAGCCGGUCUCAGUUCGGAUUGGGGUCUGCAACUCGACCUCAUGAAGUCGGAGUCGCUAAUAAUCGCAGAUCAGCAACGCUGCGGUGAAUACGUUCCCGGGGCU
This 1346-nucleotide ribosomal RNA is filed under the name uncultured bacterium. RNAcentral's name for it is "partial 16S ribosomal RNA". It matches the Rfam family "Bacterial small subunit ribosomal RNA", at positions 28 to 1381 of the family's 1533-position model. The record is from RNAcentral.